Molecule: ribosomal RNA, 418 nt
Filed under: Reticulitermes lucifugus
Lineage: Eukaryota; Metazoa; Arthropoda; Insecta; Blattodea; Rhinotermitidae
Description: partial large subunit ribosomal RNA
Source: RNAcentral
AAACCCCCCUGCCGAUAAGAACUCUCAAGGGGGAUAACGCUGUUAUCCCUAAGGUAAUUUAAUCUUACAAUCAAAAUAAAUGGAUCAAAUAAUUAUAAAUAAAUAUAACAACAUAAAGGAGGGGUUAAAUAAAUUCCUCCCAUCACCCCAACAAAACAUACUAAAUGGCCCAGUGAACCCUCACAAACAGAAAAGAACCAUAAUAAAUGUUAAACUCUAUAGGGUCUUCUCGUCCCAUAAAAACAUCUAAGAAUUUUAACUCAAAGACCAAAUUCAAUAAACAAUUCAAAAUUAAGACAGCCCAUGCCUCGUCAAGCCAUUCAUACCAGAUCACAAUUAAAGAACUAAUGACUAUGCUACCUUUGCACGGUCAAAAUACCGCGGCCCUUCAACAUCAAAGUCAGCGGGCAGGCCUACU